ACUCAAAGGAAUUGACGGGGGCCCGCACAAGCGGUGGAGCAUGUUGUUUAAUACGUCACUAACCGUAGAACCUUACCAGGGCUUGACAUCUGCCGACCGCCGGUGAAAGCCGGUUUUCCUCGCAAGAGGACGGCAAGACAGGUGUUGCAUGGCUGUCGUCAGCUCGUGUCGUGAGAUGUUGGGUUAAGUCCCGCAACGAGCGCAACCCUCACGCGAUGUUGCCAGCGAGUGAAGUCGGGCACUCUUCGCGAACUGCCGGGGUAACUCGGAGGAAGGUGGGGAUGACGUCAAGUCAGCAUGGCCCUUACGCCCUGGGCUACAAACAUGCUACAAUGGACGGUAGACAAAGGGACCCGAGACCGCAAGGUGGAGGCAAUCCCAAAAAUCCGUUCUCAGUUCGGAUUGCAGGCUGCAACUCGCCUGCAUGAAGUCGGAAUCGCUAGUAACCGCCGAUCAGCCAAGCGGCGGUGAAUACGUUCCCGGGCCUUGUACACACCGCCCGU
RNAcentral lists this ribosomal RNA (503 nucleotides) under uncultured bacterium. Its description in RNAcentral is "partial 16S ribosomal RNA". It matches the Rfam family "Bacterial small subunit ribosomal RNA", at positions 899 to 1397 of the family's 1533-position model. The record is from RNAcentral.